RNAcentral lists this ribosomal RNA (1163 nucleotides) under Proteus mirabilis. RNAcentral's name for it is "partial 23S ribosomal RNA". It matches the Rfam family "Bacterial large subunit ribosomal RNA", at positions 1770 to 2925 of the family's 2925-position model. Lineage: Bacteria; Pseudomonadati; Pseudomonadota; Gammaproteobacteria; Enterobacterales; Morganellaceae. The record is from RNAcentral.
AAGCCAGUCGAAGAUACCAGCUGGCUGCAACUGUUUAUUAAAAACACAGCACUGUGCAAACACGAAAGUGGACGUAUACGGUGUGACGCCUGCCCGGUGCUGGAAGGUUAAUUGAUGGGGUCAGCCGCAAGGCGAAGCUCCUGAUCGAAGCCCCAGUAAACGGCGGCCGUAACUAUAACGGUCCUAAGGUAGCGAAAUUCCUUGUCGGGUAAGUUCCGACCUGCACGAAUGGCGUAAUGAUGGCCAGGCUGUCUCCACCCGAGACUCAGUGAAAUUGAACUCGCUGUGAAGAUGCAGUGUACCCGCGGCAAGACGGAAAGACCCCGUGAACCUUUACUAUAGCUUGACACUGAACAUUGAGCCUUGAUGUGUAGGAUAGGUGGGAGGCUUUGAAGUGUGGACGCCAGUCUGCAUGGAGCCAACCUUGAAAUACCACCCUUUAACGUUUGAUGUUCUAACCUAGGCCCAUAAACUGGGUCGGGGACCGUGUCUGGUGGGUAGUUUGACUGGGGCGGUCUCCUCCUAAAGAGUAACGGAGGAGCACGAAGGUUGGCUAAGCAUGGUCGGACAUCAUGCGGUUAGUGCAAAGGCAUAAGCCAGCUUGACUGCGAGAGUGACGGCUCGAGCAGGUACGAAAGUAGGUCUUAGUGAUCCGGUGGUUCUGAAUGGAAGGGCCAUCGCUCAACGGAUAAAAGGUACUCCGGGGAUAACAGGCUGAUACCGCCCAAGAGUUCAUAUCGACGGCGGUGUUUGGCACCUCGAUGUCGGCUCAUCACAUCCUGGGGCUGAAGUAGGUCCCAAGGGUAUGGCUGUUCGCCAUUUAAAGUGGUACGCGAGCUGGGUUUAGAACGUCGUGAGACAGUUCGGUCCCUAUCUGCCGUGGGCGUUGGAAGAUUGAGAGGGGUUGCUCCUAGUACGAGAGGACCGGAGUGAACGCACCACUGGUGUUCGGGUUGUCAUGCCAAUGGCAUUGCCCGGUAGCUAAGUGCGGAAGAGAUAACCGCUGAAAGCAUCUAAGCGGGAAACUUGCCUCGAGAUGAGUCUUCCCUGUCGCUUUAAGUGACCUAAAGGAACGUUUAAGACUAAGACGUUGAUAGGCUGGGUGUGUAAGCGUAGCGAUACGUUGAGCUAACCAGUACUAAUGAACCGUGAGGCUUAACCUG